CACGUAGGGGCCAAGCGUUGUCCGGAAUUACUGGGCGUAAAGGGCUCGUAGGCGGCCAACUAAGUCCGACGUGAAAUCCCCAGGCUCAACCUGGGAACUGCGUCGGAUACUGGAUGGCUUGAAUUCGGGAGAGGGAUGCAGAAUUCCAGGUGUAGCGGUGAAAUGCGUAGAUAUCUGGAGGAAUACCGGUGGCGAAGGCGGCAUCCUGGACCGACAUUGACGCUGAUGAGCGAAAGCUAGGGGAGCGAACGGG
RNAcentral lists this ribosomal RNA (253 nucleotides) under uncultured bacterium. RNAcentral describes it as "partial 16S ribosomal RNA". It matches the Rfam family "Bacterial small subunit ribosomal RNA", at positions 524 to 776 of the family's 1533-position model. The record is from RNAcentral.